Molecule: long non-coding RNA, 477 nt
Organism: Conger conger (European conger)
Lineage: Eukaryota; Metazoa; Chordata; Actinopteri; Anguilliformes; Congridae
Exons: 3
Source: RefSeq, a predicted model, not a curated record
GCUAAGAGUGUCUGCCAAAUGCCAUGAAUGUAAUGUAUUGUGUGUCUUUCCUCUCCUCAGAAGCUAGGCACCAAGGGAAACAAAGCCAACUACAGAAAUGUGGUGAAGAAAUUAUUCCAGGUCUUCCCAAGCAAGGAACACUACAAAGACUCAGCCCCCAAUCGUUGUAGGACUUGCGCUGUUGUCGGGAAUUCUGGGAACCUCAACGGAUCCGAUUACGGAGCCCUCAUUGACUCCAAUGACUUCAUCAUAAGAAUGAACAGAGCUCCCAUUUUGGGCUAUGAAAAGGACGUAGGGAACAGAACCACCCAUCGCAUCUCGUACCCAGGAUCUAUCAGGCACCUGCAAAACGACACACACCUGAUUCUGUUACCAUUCAAGACUGAAACUCUACAGUGGAUCACCAAGGCUUUGACCACAGGCUCUAUGAAAAGCGCCCCUUUACCUGAGAUGGCCCAGAUUAAUGCAGACAAGGUG